Molecule: ribosomal RNA, 489 nt
Filed under: uncultured bacterium
Lineage: Bacteria
Description: partial 16S ribosomal RNA
Rfam family: Bacterial small subunit ribosomal RNA
Source: RNAcentral
AUUGAACGCUGGCGGCAGGCCUAACACAUGCAAGUCGAACGGUAACAGGAAGAAGCUUGCUUCUUUGCUGACGAGUGGCGGACGGGUGAGUAAUGUCUGGGAAACUGCCUGAUGGAGGGGGAUAACUACUGGAAACGGUAGCUAAUACCGCAUAACGUCGCAAGACCAAAAAGGGGGACCUUCGGGCCUCUUGCCAUCGGAUGUGCCCAGAUGGGAUUAGCUAGUAGGUGGGGUAACGGCUCACCUAGGCGACGAUCCCUAGCUGGUCUGAGAGGAUGACCAGCCACACUGGAACUGAGACACGGUCCAGACUCCUACGGGAGGCAGCAGUGGGGAAUAUUGCACAAUGGGCGCAAGCCUGAUGCAGCCAUGCCGCGUGUAUGAAGAAGGCCUGCGGGUUGUAAAGUACUUUCAGCGGGGAGGAAGGGAGUAAAGUUAAUACCUGUGCUCAUGGACGUUACCCGCAGAAGAAGCACCGGCUAACUCCGU